RNAcentral lists this ribosomal RNA (459 nucleotides) under uncultured Enterobacteriaceae bacterium. Its description in RNAcentral is "bacterial SSU rRNA". It matches the Rfam family "Bacterial small subunit ribosomal RNA", at positions 924 to 1382 of the family's 1533-position model. Lineage: Bacteria; Pseudomonadati; Pseudomonadota; Gammaproteobacteria; Enterobacterales; Enterobacteriaceae. The record is from RNAcentral.
CACAAGCGGUGGAGCAUGUGGUUUAAUUCGAUGCAACGCGUAAGAACCUUUACCUGGUCUUGACAUCCACGGAAGUUUUCAGAGAUGAGAAUGUGCCUUCGGGAACCGUGAGACAGGUGCUGCAUGGCUGUCGUCAGCUCGUGUUGUGAAAUGUUGGGUUAAGUCCCGCAACGAGCGCAACCCUUAUCCUUUGUUGCCAGCGGUCCGGCCGGGAACUCAAAGGAGACUGCCAGUGAUAAACUGGAGGGAGGUGGGAUGACGUCAAGUCAUCAUGGCCCUUACGACCAGGGCUACACACGUGCUACAAUGGCGCAUACAAAGAGAAGCGACCUCGCGAGAGCAAGCGGACCUCAUAAAGUGCGUCGUAGUCCGGAUUGGAGUCUGCAACUCGACUCCAUGAAGUCGGAAUCGCUAGUAAUCGUGGAUCAGAAUGCCACGGUGAAUACGUUCCCGGGCCUU